Molecule: long non-coding RNA, 1113 nt
Organism: Cannabis sativa
Lineage: Eukaryota; Viridiplantae; Streptophyta; Magnoliopsida; Rosales; Cannabaceae
Exons: 4
Source: RefSeq, a predicted model, not a curated record
UAUGGAAACCGUUGGAAAAAGUAAGUGGAAGUUUUUCCCAUCAGUUUAGCACUGUAGCAAAAAUACUGUUGGGAUAGUUUUUGCCAACGGUGAAUAACCGUUGGCAAUACUAAAUAGAUUUUGUUUUUAAAAAAAAAAUAGUUUAUCCCAACGUUUUUUAACUGUUGGGAAUAGUAAGUACACACAACGGUUUAUAACUAUGGAGAAUAGUUAUUAUACCCAACACUUAUUAACUGUUGGAAAAGAUGUAUUUUAUGUCUAAUUAAUAAUUUAUUGAAAAAAAAAAUUCGGGACUGAAAUUUGGGGCUAAGGCUGAAAAUUUCAGACCAAUACCCAAAAUCUCAUCUCUCUAUCUCUCGAGAAUAACCCUAAAUUUCAGACCAAGACUCUCUCCGACGAGCUGCUCACCACGAGCUUGGGAGACGACGUCAAGGACCUGCGGCCUCCGCUUCUCCCGCUUCUCCCGCGUCUCUUCCUCCACCAGCGUCAACGACGGACGACAGACCAGCACCAAAUAGGUGAUGCGGUACACUACAACCUUAGUUUUGAUUGAUCUUUGGUGUUUGAAGAACGCAAAGCAAUUUUAUUGGAUUAGUUAGUGUUCUUGAGAGAUACUCCCUUGAGAAAAGAAACUGACGGUCUCUAGCAAUAAGCUUCACUGAGUACAGAUGUCCUGAGCAACCAGAUGGAAUCCAGUGUGUUUAAAAGGAACAUAUCAUCCUCUUACACUAACAAAGAAAUCAAUGAAAUGCGUGACGAAUGGGCAAAGUGUGUCAUGCAGAUGAUAGCAGCAAGCAAAUGACUAAUAACAUAGAGUAUGAUGACCAAUGAUCGCUCAUGGACGAUCCCCAUGUGAUCUAAGAAAAUGAUUGAUAGGUUUGACAUCGAUCUUAGUUACUAUUGUCUUGCUUUUUUAGUUUUUAGGAAGUGAUCUCCAGCUAUUUGAUUAAAGUCCCAAGUGACUACUUGGAGACUUAUUUUGUUCUUAGUAUACAUAUUUUUAGAUGUUCAGAAGAUAUUCUACAAAAGAUUGCAAAAUGUAAAAACUUAAUUGGAUUUCCUUCUUUUGUAUUGCAUUACUAAACUUUGAUGGCAUAUUAUGAUUUUCAUGAA